UUUGAUUAUAGUGAUUUGGAGUUGAUUGAGAGGUAUCCAGGGGUUCAGGAACAGAGUUGAUCUCCAGAGAGACAGUCUGGAAGGAGUGUGAAGUGAAGUGGUCCGUUGCACUUCUCAACUUCUCAUUCUCUUCUGGAAUCUUCAAUUUUUUCUUCUUACUCCUCCCCCACUCUCUCUGCAGCUGUCUCUGUCAGAGACUGCUCUCUGCUCCAAGUGGACUAUCUCUCUAUCUUACAGCAACUUUGUAAGAUGGAGGUUUACUUUGCUCCAACCCUGCAAGGAUAUAACUAUGACUGCAUCCAAUCUGUUCUUGGCUUCCACUGCAAACAUUGCUACCAGCUGUUCCAUGGAUGUUGCCAGGAUAUCAAUGAGAAAAUGAGAAAUCCCCAAACUGCUGGAACCUUCUGAACGUUUGAGGCUCACAAGGUCCUCCUCUGACCAAGGAGAUGAGACAGAGAUUAGAACCUGGAACUCUUUUCCUCUUCAUUUGAUUGAAUCUCUUGGGUUCUGGUUUUAUAUAGGACAUAGAGGGUGUGACCAAAACCUUCAACCAAUCAGAAUGGAAACCUGUCAUACUUAGGAAGGUAUAUAAGUCCUGUUCCUUUCCAGUGAAUAAUAAAGAUUUAUUUUCAUCUGAU
Monodelphis domestica (gray short-tailed opossum) is the source of this 638-nucleotide long non-coding RNA. RefSeq lists it as uncharacterized. The record is from RefSeq and is a predicted model, not a curated record. NCBI's taxonomy places the organism in Eukaryota, Metazoa, Chordata, Mammalia, Didelphimorphia, Didelphidae.